UACGGGGGGGGCAAGCGUUGUUCGGAAUUACUGGGCGUAAAGGGCUCGUAGGUGGCCAACUAAGUCAGACGUGAAAUCCCUCAGCUUAACUGGGGAACUGCGUCUGAUACUGGAUGGCUUGAGUUUGGGAGAGGGAUGCGGAAUUCCAGGUGUAGCGGUGAAAUGCGUAGAUAUCGUGGAGAACACCCGUGGCGAAGGCGGGCUUCUGGCUAAUGACUGACGCUGAGGUGCGAAAGCUAGGGGAGCGAACGGG
RNAcentral lists this ribosomal RNA (253 nucleotides) under uncultured bacterium. RNAcentral's name for it is "partial 16S ribosomal RNA". It matches the Rfam family "Bacterial small subunit ribosomal RNA", at positions 524 to 776 of the family's 1533-position model. The record is from RNAcentral.